Molecule: ribosomal RNA, 243 nt
Filed under: uncultured Actinomycetales bacterium
Lineage: Bacteria; Bacillati; Actinomycetota; Actinomycetes; Actinomycetales
Description: partial 16S ribosomal RNA
Rfam family: Bacterial small subunit ribosomal RNA
Source: RNAcentral
UACUCGAGUGGCGAACGGGUGAGUAACACGUGGGUGAUCUGCCCUGCACUUCGGGAUAAGCUUGGGAAACUGGGUCUAAUACCGGAUAGGAACCAUCUUUAGUGUGGUGGUUGGAAAGUUUUUUCGGUGUAGGAUGAGCUCGCGGCCUAUCAGCUUGUUGGUGGGGUAAUGGCCUACCAAGGCGGCGACGGGUAGCCGGCCUUAGAGGGUGUACGGCCACAUUGGGACUGAGAUACGGCCCAG